CUCCUCGUCUGAAAAACAAGGUUAUGUAAAUGAGGAAUAUCAGUUAUGAAGUUUUUGAUGCAAUACUUGUCCAGUGCUAAAGACAGUUUUUUUGAGGGUUAUCUCCAGAUUAUCAUCAAACUGACUGAUACAGAAGCAAGUGUAGCUUUCUAAGAGGAAGAGAGCUGAGGAGCACAAGAAGUUGAGUGGGGGGACACAUAAACUGGCCAAAGGAAUAUUCCAGACCUUACUGGCAUCAUGCUGAGGAUAUACUUGUGGAGAAAGUGGGCUGGAGACUCAUGCUGAGGGAUUGCCUAGGAAUCAGUCAGCAAGUGGUGAGCAACUGUAUUGUGAGUAACUUGUUUUGUGUAUUCUCUAUUAUUUUGAUGUAUAUUCACUAUUAUUAUUAUCAUCAUAAUCAUAAUUUUCUUCCUUUUCUGUUUAUUUAACUAUCUUUAUCUGAAUCUAUGAGUUUUCUCAUUUUUACUCUUCUGAUUGUCUCCCCCAUCCCACUGGAGGGGAGUGAGUGGCUGCGUAGUGCUUGGUUGCCAACUGUGGUUAAAGAAUGCCACUUAAAACACUUGCAAAGUGUCAAAUAAUCCAUCACAGCUGUUCAGCUACUCAGUGUAGUAGGAAAAAAAAAAGGAUGCCAACACUUUUUCAUCACCCAAUGGAAUAACAAAAUACUACAAAAAUAAUAAAAAUUGGGAGUUUUCUCAUAAUUCAUAUUAUGGCUUAAUUUUUAGAACUGCUUUUGUGUUCUUCCACAGUUACUUACAGUGUGAUGUGUGCCAUUGCAGACCUUAGCAAUAGUCAGGUAAGAUGCACAAGCCUUCCCCUGCUACCAAUGUGCUUUUUGUACAGAGGAUUGUUAGACCUUCAUUUGUAUUUAAUAUAAUCACCACUCAAAGUCUCCUUGUUUUCAUGAUCUCUACUGACUUUAAAUUGCAGAUGAUAGUUAUAAAGCUUAAAAAAAUUAUUAUUCUUAAUAAAACAUUUAAAUUUCUAGCAAGGCAAUUUCUUUUUCUGCAUAUAAACCAAAACUUAGGUGAAUUUUUUUUCUAGAAUAACUUGAAAAUCAGAUACCAGCUAAUCAGUCAUCAAAUUAGAACUCAAUAUGAAAAAGUGGUACAACAAUUAGAAAAGAAGGGAUCUUAGUAAUCAGAAACAAUGCCCUUGUUUUAGUUUAAAUACUUUAGUCAGUCUAAAGCGAACAGGGGAGUGUAAAAUAUGUACUUAAAUGUAUGUGUAUGUGUAUUGGGAAUUAAUCAACUUAGGUCCCUUGAUAGUCGAAUUGGGGACUAAAGAAUUCAUUCAUUACAGGAAAGACUUUGUAAUUAAUAGUUUCUGCUGUGCUUAUGAGUCUUAAUGAAAUAAGCCUUGUGAAACUUUUGUAAGAGAGGGAUUAUGGAAUUACAUUUUGUUAGAUUUUGUUUUGUGCAGUUCCUUCUAAGGUGAAACAUGGAAGAGAACAGAGAACUCUACUGUUAAGCCAGGUUUUCAAGCUUCUUUUUUCCACUUAUCUAGCUGAACUGUGAUUAUCACUAAAAUGAAAAUGAAUGGGUUUUUUUAGAGCAUUUGUUCUGGUAUAAUGAAUUAUUGAAGUGUCUUAACAACAAAAUCCUUUUUAAAUGAAAUCAUAUUUCUAAUACAGUGGACAGAUGCCUAACUUUCAGUAGUAGCCAAGAAAACAAUUUCACUCUGACAAGGUGCAAUCAGGAGGAAAUUUUAUGUAACACUGCAAGUAAUAAAUAAAUUAUGCAUAGCAAGACUAAAUUCAGAAUAAGUGUACUGUGAAACAAAAUACAUUAGAAUAACUGAAGAAAUAAUUAAUUACAGAGUUAGGAUAUAAACAGUAAUGCAUCUCAGGCAGAAGCAAACAACAAAAUUGAAGAAAGAUAAUCGUGGGCUGAGUUUGUUCAAGAGAAACAACAUUUACAGGUGGGCAAAUUCGUCUUGUCUCACAGGAUGACAGUUUACUUGCAGAGAUCCAGCACAAGCUUUAUUCAUGUUAGAUCCCACCAGAAAGGAUGGCAUUAGAUAUAUUGUUUGUAUGUAUGUCUUGAGCUCUCAACAGAAGUGCUUUUUAUUGAGUGAACCAGCUCCCUCUUUAUCUUCCUGAAAUCGUAAUUUCAAUUCUACAGCCACUCAAGCAAAGGAUAUUUUCACAAACAGCAAAAUUGGAAUAAUUUCUUUAAAUCUGGAAGUCACAGAAAUGCACUAAUACAUAAGCUUGUAACUGUGUGGAAAUUUCCCAAGAAAGGUAAUUUGCAAAACUAUGCUAGGGAGGCAUUCCCCAAUCUUAAAGUAAGUAAACAGCACAUCUGGUAAACUGAAACUUGACAGUAGAAAAUUCAUCUUGGCAUCACAAGUUAAUUGACACCUGCAUUAAUUAUGUUGUGAACUCUUAAAGCUCUUCUGCACCACACCAAAUUCCCUUGCACUUCCAAUAUGUAACCAAACACAACACAUAGCAGUUAACUUACCAUUCUGACUAAAAACUCAACCUUAGCUACGUAACAUUCUCUAUAAACACAUUUACAGAUACAAACUGUUAUUUUGCAUAUAGGAAACUAUGAUGCAGGAAUCUUACUUCUACAUGUGAUGUGAAAUGAAACUGAAAAUGGGAAUCUCUUCUGGUUAAAUGUCAAAGUGCAAAGGAGAUGGCUGUGGAACCAGAGAGUGAAUACACUUGGGUAAUUUGGUAUUAAGGAAGUCCUAGGAGUUUUAAACAUGUGGAGAAAGUCAUGCUUUACAUUAACUGACACUUCUGAUUCACAGCUUCAUCCAAAUCACACAUCUCAUCAAGAACAAAGCUGUCGCACAGGUGGAUCCAACUUUGCAAGGCAUUACAGUAGAUGUAAGAAGUUAUGUUUAGGUGGAAGUCUACACGAUUUUUAGUGCUCUUAUGGCUGUUCAUAUUAUUUCAUGAAAGCUAGAUGGGAAAGACAUCUGGGACAUUUUCCAGAUCAUCUCUACAAUACUAACCUCAUUAAGAAAGGGAGAUGUUACCUCCCUCUUCAAGCCUUUUCUAGGAAAGAAAUAGUUGCAAUAAGUCUUUUUACUGGAAGGAUUUACUUCACUGAGUUUAAUAUUGCAGAUCUAAAAACUGUCUCCCAGAUGUUUACAUACGGUAGACUUUUUUUUUGGGGGGGGGGUGGUGUAUUUUUUAUUAUUUUCACAUCCAUAUACUGGUUGAAUUCUGAAGUUAGUUGUCAGAAUUUCCAGGAUUAAGGAUUUACUCAAACGUAAGGUAUUUAAAUGCAAAGCACUAGAGGGCAUUAGACAAAAAUUCAGUUAAUAAAAAAAUAAAAAUCCCAUUUUAAUUUGCUUUUGCAGUGUCAAAAUGAGUGAAGGUCUGAAACACGGCAUAUAGGCAUAAAAUUGCCUGUAACAGCUCGAUCCAAUGACCUCCAACAACAGAAACUAUCCCAACCUCUUUCAACCAGUCCUAGCUGUUCUAUUUUCUUUUUUGCUGGCUCAGGUGGCACUUUUCCAACUAUGCACCAAGCAAAUUCAUGCAGUACUAAUCCUACUACCCCCAUCAGUGGAGCAGGUAAGAGGUGGGCAAGUCGACUGAAAGGUCACAUAAGAGCCAGGAUUAACAGCCAGGAGCAUGGAAUGGAGAAGAAAACUUCUUUGAACAGGACAUGCCCUUUCUUCUGUUCUAGAAUAGUAUAGACUGUUAUCUUUAAGAAAGAUGAAGAAAGAUGAAGCUAACACAGUUAUCUUUCUUGGUGAUACCAACUUGUUAAGAGGAUCAAGGGGAUGGACAGCUAUGAAGUACUCCUAAGAAGACAUCACAUAAUUCAGUUUCCAGAUUAAGGUUCUGCAGUUUUGUGGUCUACUGGUAUAUUUCAAAAAAAUGCCUCAUUAAUUUGUGCACAAGCUGUUUUCUCUCUGGUGCAGUUUAUGUAAUUCACUGAGGAAAAAAGGAAAUCCCUAGAACAACAUGACUCUCUCUGAAACUGCCCCUUUUCUAUCCCUCCUCCUUUACCAAUGACAGUGCAGCUGACUUCCCCAAACCAUCAGAAGUACUAGUCUAUGUUGAAAAUACUGCUGCUUACUGACAUUUAUAGCAUAAAUUAUACUUGUAUUCUGCAGCCAAGUCCUGCUUGAAACAAUAUUCCAGUCUCAUUAGGAAACUGUGGCAAGGCUUUCAAUUUUUAAGCUGUCGUAUCUGGCAGAGCUGUGAGAAUUGCCUUUUAUGUUUCAGGGGAAAAUACUCUUGGUAGAGAACUGCACAUGAAAAUAGAAAUAGAUUAGUUCCCCUUUAAAGAUUGCAAUAUUUAGUCAGAAGAGCUUACAAAGAAAUUGAGCAGUAACCUUACUAGUGUGCCAGUGAGUGGCACACUGCAAGAAACAAAAAUGGAAGCACAUUUUAAAGAGUGAACUAAUACAAACACAAAUUGUGAGGAGGUCAGAUCUCUGAUUCUCACAUCAAGAGGACAAAGCUAGAAGACAGUCUGAAAUGAGCUUUAUGAGUUAUUUUUCAGUAGAAACUGAUUUUUAAGUAUAAGUUUGGUAUGCACUAGAUAUGAUAAGCUAAUUCAAGGACAGAUAAAGGUCUGAGUCACAAAUAAAAGUCACAAAAAAAAAUUCUACCAAAAUUGGAAGAAAGAAGGGCAGUGCAUCCCAGAAGAACAGUAAAUUGAGUCUUUGUUUCCUUAGCUCCUUGCUAUUCUUUGUUUUGCCUUGACAUAAAUGUCCUCUUACCCGCUGUGGCAACUUCAUACAAAUGGAACCAAGGAACAAGCAGCAUAAAUAAAAUCUGACUAUUGUGACUCUGACAUCAUUAACAAAAUCCAAGACCAAAUAUACUUAUUGCAACCAUUUUUCACGUCUUUGAUUUUAUAUUUCUGGGAUCUGUUUUUUAGUUAAGCUUAUAGAAUAUAACUUUAUAUCCCCAUCAUAAAUCAAACAUCAUGGAUGUCUUUAAAUAUUCUGAAAGGCUCUUAGUGGAUACUAAGUAAUUUAGAUAAAGAAUCAGAGAAAUGUAGAUCUGGAAGAGAUUUCAAAAGAUCACCCAUCUCUGCACACAGGCAAUAUGAAAUAUACUACAGUCCAUCCCUAUGAGAUGUUUCAUAGACCUCUUCUUAAAACUUCUAUAAUGGAAAUUUAACAACUCCCAUGGGAAGCAUAUUUUAGUGUAUCACUACUCUUAUAGUUGGAAAGUUUCUCUAGCCUGUCUUUGCUACAAAUAUAGGUUUACUCAAGUGGAUACUAAGAGAAACUUUCCAAUUAUAAUGAUCAUGAAGUAUCCCCAAGUCUAUAUCAAGAAGCCACUAUAAUUUUCAAAGACAUUCUGGUGUUUGAUACGCAUACAAUUAUUUAUAGUUUCAUGUUAUCUUUUGAUUAAAAAAACUUAUUUCAGUCAUUUUUCAGUAACAGAACAGAACAGAAUUCAGUUUAGUAACUGAACAGCAUUCAGUAAACCAGAAUUUCUUUUCUGAGACUGAGUUUACCUUUAACUCUUAAAUUGACAGGACAAAUGUGUAAUGCCGGUGUUAAACAACGAUUCUGGAUUAUGUCAUAUAUUUUUGUAUUAGUUGUUAAAAGCCCAGCACAAAAUAAUGAUUAAAAAAAAAAAAAUCAAAACAUUUACAACAAAAGUGGUCUUUCAUUUGAAACUCAAGGAUGGAGUUCCAUAUUCUACUCCAGUAGGAAGCCUUGACUUUAAACACAUGACAUAAUCUGUUUCUAUCUAAUCUUUAAAAGGACACUAAGACUCAUUCAUAUUAGAAGUUUAAUGAAGAUACAGUAUGCAAAAUAUUUCAAAUGCUAACAAGAGGGGUGCUGCUUUUUAACAGGUUCACAAGGUGAUACAGGAACAUGGCAUAUCUCUAAGUAAAUCUGACAGGAAGCAAAGAACAAAAGAGCAAGUAAGAUACCACUUCUGCCAAACAGGUGUUUUUGGUACUGGCUUUAGUAUAAAUUGACUUCUGCCUGCUGAUAGUGUCUUGAUUGUGUUUCUAAAUCAGUGCAUGAUUUAUAAUGAAUUCAAUUGAUUAAUUUCAGUCUCAGAAGUACAAAAGCCACAGAAGUGAUAAACUCCGCAACUGUGUUAAAGCUACCAUAAAGGUAAAUUGCUCUAUUUCAGGGCUUCCUGAAAUCAGGGCAUUCUGACGUAUCAGUUAUUUAGAAAGUUACCUGUAGAACAGUCCAGUUGAGAUACAACAGAACUGAUACACCAUUUCAUUUCAUGGUUUGUUCAAACAUGCACAGAAUGGUUAAUGUUCUGUUCUCAUGUUUCUACUUUGAAGUAACCCUCAUCUAAAUUCAGACUAUAUUUAUAUUUUUAAAGCACAAAUCUGUUUUCUUUCAGCAUUGUUCUAGCGCAAGCUAUAUCUGCAUCAGAAAGGCUCGAGGCAGCAAAUGUCAUGUUUUGCAUAAAAUCCUUUUUCUACUACGGUAACAAAUUUCUUGCUGCCAUGGGAUUUUUAUGAUAUUUUUCCCUUCAUAAUUUUUUAAAAAAUAAAUUAAAAAAAAGCACAUAGAGCGCAAAUAGAAGCAAAAUUUCAUCUUAUAGUCACUAUUUCACAUUCUACAUUAUAUCCCCAAUCAAAACAUUUGUUUUACAAUUUGUAUACAAUAUUAUUUGUAUACAGUUAUUUGUAUUAUUUGUAUACAUUACUAUUUCAGGCUUGCAGUCAUGAGAACAAUUAUACUGCAUGGCUACUGGAAAUACCCUGCCUUUAGCCUUGUUAUGCACCUGAGAUGUGUGAAACUGUCUCAAUUACAAAAUAUAUUACAGAAGACCUGGGGUCUGAUCCUGCAAAUGUUAAAAGUAUCCUACAACAGCCAUUUGCCAGUGAUAAGGAAGAAACUAUACUGGAGAUGCAGGAUUAUCCCAAAUCAGGCCUUAAGUGCAUACAACCACAUUAUAUGGUGACAUCUCAAAUUAAAAUCCUGUCUUUUUAUGUAAUACAGAAGUAACACACACAACUUACAUAUAGUAAUAAUUUAUUCUGAAAUGUUGAUUUUAGUCUCUGUUGAGGCAUCACCCACGUCUCAUUAAUAAAAGAGCAGCCAUCUCACCUCAAAUACCAGAAUAUACAACAAGUUACAGCAUAGCAAAAAAAAUUCUACCUACUUUAAGAUAAAAUUUAAUUCAGGUAAAAUAAUUUUGUUCAAACUUUUACAGUUACACAGGUGGGUUUUUUUUUUUUUGUUGUUUUGUUUUUUCUUUUUCAGAGCACAAAGAAAGUGUAAAUUGUUACACUGUAACUAUCUAUGCACAUUAUGUGA
Cyanistes caeruleus (blue tit) is the source of this 7227-nucleotide non-coding RNA. The record is from RefSeq and is a predicted model, not a curated record. NCBI's taxonomy places the organism in Eukaryota, Metazoa, Chordata, Aves, Passeriformes, Paridae.